RNAcentral lists this ribosomal RNA (304 nucleotides) under Azospirillum brasilense. RNAcentral describes it as "bacterial SSU rRNA". It matches the Rfam family "Bacterial small subunit ribosomal RNA", at positions 131 to 453 of the family's 1533-position model. Lineage: Bacteria; Pseudomonadati; Pseudomonadota; Alphaproteobacteria; Rhodospirillales; Azospirillaceae. The record is from RNAcentral.
UUUCGGUUCGGGAUAACGUCUGGAAACGGACGCUAACACCGGAUACGCCCUUCGGGGGAAAGUUUACGCCGAGAGAGGGGCCCGCGUCCGAUUAGGUAGUUGGUGGGGUAAUGGCCCACCAAGCCGACGAUCGGUAGCUGGUCUGAGAGGAUGAUCAGCCACACUGGGACUGAGACACGGCCCAGACUCCUACGGGAGGCAGCAGUGGGGAAUAUUGGACAAUGGGGGCAACCCUGAUCCAGCAAUGCCGCGUGAGUGAUGAAGGCCUUAGGGUUGUAAAGCUCUUUCGCACGCGACGAUGAUG